GAUGAAGAACGCAGCGAAAUGCGAUAAUUAAUGUGAAUUGCAGAAUUCCGUGAAUCAUCGAGUCUUUGAACGCACAUUGCGCCCCCUGGUAUUCCGGGGGGCAUGCCUGUCCGAGCGUCAUUGCUGCCCAUCAAGCACGGCUUGUGUGUUGGGUCCUCGUCCCCCCCGGGGGACGUGCCCGAAAGGCAGCGGCGGCACCGCGUCCGGUCCUCGAGCGUAUGGGGCUUUGUCACCCGCUCUGCAGGCCCGGCCGGCGCUGGCCGACGCGAAAGCAACCAUUUUUUCUCCAGGUUGACCUCGGAUCAGGUAGGGAUACCCGCUGAACUUAAGCAUAUCAAUAAGCGGAGA
Molecule: unclassified non-coding RNA, 348 nt
Filed under: soil metagenome
Description: partial contains 5.8S ribosomal RNA, internal transcribed spacer 2, and large subunit ribosomal RNA
Rfam family: 5.8S ribosomal RNA (bases 1-120)
Source: RNAcentral